RNAcentral lists this ribosomal RNA (2908 nucleotides) under Salmonella enterica subsp. enterica serovar Typhimurium. Its description in RNAcentral is "23S ribosomal RNA". It matches the Rfam family "Bacterial large subunit ribosomal RNA". Lineage: Bacteria; Pseudomonadati; Pseudomonadota; Gammaproteobacteria; Enterobacterales; Enterobacteriaceae. The record is from RNAcentral.
GGUUAAGCGACUAAGCGUACACGGUGGAUGCCCUGGCAGUCAGAGGCGAUGAAGGGCGUGCUAAUCUGCGAUAAGCGCCGGUAAGGUGAUAUGAACCGUUAUAACCGGCGAUACCCGAAUGGGGAAACCCAGUGUGAUUCGUCACACUAUCAUUAACUGAAUCCAUAGGUUAAUGAGGCGAACCGGGGGAACUGAAACAUCUAAGUACCCCGAGGAAAAGAAAUCAACCGAGAUUCCCCCAGUAGCGGCGAGCGAACGGGGAGGAGCCCAGAGCCUGAAUCAGCAUGUGUGUUAGUGGAAGCGUCUGGAAAGGUGCGCGAUACAGGGUGACAGCCCCGUACACAAAAGCGCAUGUGCUGUGAGCUCGAUGAGUAGGGCGGGACACGUGGUAUCCUGUCUGAAUAUGGGGGGACCAUCCUCCAAGGCUAAAUACUCCUGACUGACCGAUAGUGAACCAGUACCGUGAGGGAAAGGCGAAAAGAACCCCGGCGAGGGGAGUGAAAAAGAACCUGAAACCGUGUACGUACAAGCAGUGGGAGCACAGGUUUACCUGUGUGACUGCGUACCUUUUGUAUAAUGGGUCAGCGACUUAUAUUCUGUAGCAAGGUUAACCGUAUAGGGGAGCCGGAGGGAAACCGAGUCUUAACCGGGCGUUAAGUUGCAGGGUAUAGACCCGAAACCCGGUGAUCUAGCCAUGGGCAGGUUGAAGGUUGGGUAACACUAACUGGAGGACCGAACCGACUAAUGUUGAAAAAUUAGCGGAUGACCUGUGGCUGGGGGUGAAAGGCCAAUCAAACCGGGAGAUAGCUGGUUCUCCCCGAAAGCUAUUUAGGUAGCGCCUCGUGAAUUCAUCUCCGGGGGUAGAGCACUGUUUCGGCUAGGGGGCCAUCCCGGCUUACCAACCCGAUGCAAACUGCGAAUGCCGGAGAAUGUUAUCACGGGAGACACACGGCGGGUGCUAACGUCCGUCGUGAAGAGGGAAACAACCCAGACCGCCAGCUAAGGUCCCAAAGUCAUGGUUAAGUGGGAAACGAUGUGGGAAGGCCCAGACAGCCAGGAUGUUGGCUUAGAAGCAGCCAUCAUUUAAAGAAAGCGUAAUAGCUCACUGGUCGAGUCGGCCUGCGCGGAAGAUGUAACGGGGCUAAACCAUGCACCGAAGCUGCGGCAGCGACGCUGAUGCGUUGUUGGGUAGGGGAGCGUUCUGUAAGCCUGCGAAGGUGACCUGUGAGGGUUGCUGGAGGUAUCAGAAGUGCGAAUGCUGACAUAAGUAACGAUAAAGCGGGUGAAAAGCCCGCUCGCCGGAAGACCAAGGGUUCCUGUCCAACGUUAAUCGGGGCAGGGUGAGUCGACCCCUAAGGCGAGGCCGAAAGGCGUAGUCGAUGGGAAACGGGUUAAUAUUCCCGUACUUGGUGUUACUGCGAAGGGGGGACGGAGAAGGCUAUGUUGGCCGGGCGACGGUUGUCCCGGUUUAAGCGUGUAGGUGUGUGUUCCAGGUAAAUCCGGUUCACUUUAACACUGAGGCGUGACGACGAGGCACUACGGUGCUGAAGCAACAAAUGCCCUGCUUCCAGGAAAAGCCUCUAAGCAUCAGGUAACACGAAAUCGUACCCCAAACCGACACAGGUGGUCAGGUAGAGAAUACCAAGGCGCUUGAGAGAACUCGGGUGAAGGAACUAGGCAAAAUGGUGCCGUAACUUCGGGAGAAGGCACGCUGACACGUAGGUGAAGUGAUUUACUCAUGGAGCUGAAGUCAGUCGAAGAUACCAGCUGGCUGCAACUGUUUAUUAAAAACACAGCACUGUGCAAACACGAAAGUGGACGUAUACGGUGUGACGCCUGCCCGGUGCCGGAAGGUUAAUUGAUGGGGUCAGCGCAAGCGAAGCUCCUGAUCGAAGCCCCGGUAAACGGCGGCCGUAACUAUAACGGUCCUAAGGUAGCGAAAUUCCUUGUCGGGUAAGUUCCGACCUGCACGAAUGGCGUAAUGAUGGCCAGGCUGUCUCCACCCGAGACUCAGUGAAAUUGAACUCGCUGUGAAGAUGCAGUGUACCCGCGGCAAGACGGAAAGACCCCGUGAACCUUUACUAUAGCUUGACACUGAACAUUGAGCCUUGAUGUGUAGGAUAGGUGGGAGGCUUUGAAGUGUGGACGCCAGUCUGCAUGGAGCCGACCUUGAAAUACCACCCUUUAAUGUUUGAUGUUCUAACGUGGACCCGUAAUCCGGGUUGCGGACAGUGUCUGGUGGGUAGUUUGACUGGGGCGGUCUCCUCCUAAAGAGUAACGGAGGAGCACGAAGGUUGGCUAAUCCUGGUCGGACAUCAGGAGGUUAGUGCAAUGGCAUAAGCCAGCUUGACUGCGAGCGUGACGGCGCGAGCAGGUGCGAAAGCAGGUCAUAGUGAUCCGGUGGUUCUGAAUGGAAGGGCCAUCGCUCAACGGAUAAAAGGUACUCCGGGGAUAACAGGCUGAUACCGCCCAAGAGUUCAUAUCGACGGCGGUGUUUGGCACCUCGAUGUCGGCUCAUCACAUCCUGGGGCUGAAGUAGGUCCCAAGGGUAUGGCUGUUCGCCAUUUAAAGUGGUACGCGAGCUGGGUUUAGAACGUCGUGAGACAGUUCGGUCCCUAUCUGCCGUGGGCGCUGGAGAACUGAGGGGGGCUGCUCCUAGUACGAGAGGACCGGAGUGGACGCAUCACUGGUGUUCGGGUUGUCAUGCCAAUGGCACUGCCCGGUAGCUAAAUGCGGAAGAGAUAAGUGCUGAAAGCAUCUAAGCACGAAACUUGCCCCGAGAUGAGUUCUCCCUGAGACUUAGAGUCUCCUGAAGGAACGUUGAAGACGACGACGUUGAUAGGCCGGGUGUGUAAGCGCAGCGAUGCGUUGAGCUAACCGGUACUAAUGAACCGUGAGGCUUAACCUU